Non-coding RNA from Hydra vulgaris (swiftwater hydra), 1930 nucleotides. NCBI's taxonomy places the organism in Eukaryota, Metazoa, Cnidaria, Hydrozoa, Anthoathecata, Hydridae. The record is from RefSeq and is a predicted model, not a curated record.
AUUUUAUUAAGUAACACUGUUUAUUCUCUUUAUCAUAAGUUAAAAUAAUAUUAAUACAAUAACAGCGAUAACUAAGAUAAGUCUAGUAAAGUUUAGGUGCUUAAAUAAAAUUUAUUUUGACCGUUUUUAUUACUUAGAAAAGGUAAUCAGCUCGCCUCUUUUUAAGAGACAGAGCAGUGUUAACCUUGUUAAAAAUAUUAUUUUACUACGCUCUCCUAAGUAACAUGUUAGCGAGUUGGUCACCUCACUAUACGUAAAGUGAGGUUUUUUUUAUUGGUUUGACAGCAGGAUUGAUGUUCAUUUUGUUGAAUAGAUUCAAGAGAAGGAGCCCAAAAAGAGACGGCAUAUUCAAGUUUAUUAUCAAAUGGUAUUGUUGAAUGAAAGAUUUUUCUUUUGAAACACUAAAUCGGUAUUUGAUUUUAUAAAAGAGUUUCAAAUCAAAACAUUUUCUAAUCUGAAAGAAGAGGUCAAUAAUAGCUCAAACAAAAACUUAUUUGAUAACGAAAUUUAUUUUCAACUAUUUGUAUAAUCACGUAAAAGCAAAAAAAUUGGAUUCAAGAAAUGUAUUUAGCAAUCAAUUAGAUUUAUAUAGAUUACUUAAACCAAAAAAUGGAUUCAAGAAAUGUAUUUAGCUACCCAUUAAAUACACACUACCGCUGUCAUUAGCAGAUUGCAUUAAAAGUAAAACAUCAAAAGUUUCCAUCCUUUAAAAUCUAGAAGAAAAUACAGGACCAUGGUCUGAUGAAAUUCUAUCACGAUAGUUUUAUUGAAGUUAUGGUUACGUAAGGUGUGGUUAUUCUAAAACAAGAAAAAACUGCAGCUUUCAUAUUUUGGUCAAUUGGCUCAAAAGUUGAUUCAGAUAAUGUUGAAUCUAAGUGUCAAUGCAGACCGCAUAGAUUUUUUAUUCAAAAAAGAUAAUCCAGUUAAAAAAUGGUUAAAAAAACUAUCGAGUUUCUUGUUAAUUAAUAAUGCGGAAAUAAUUCAGUUUGAACAUAAAACAUUGGAUAUUUUUAUGUUACAAUUAAAGAUAAAUGUCUCUCAAUUAAAGAUAAAUAGACACUCAAUAUCAAGUAUAGAAUUUGUCGAGGAAUUGAAAACAGUACAAUAAAAUACAUUAGAAGCUGACAAUAGAAUUUUUCUUCACGUUUUAAGCAUUCAAAACAGGUUUCAUAAAGUUCAUAAUUCACUCAUAAGCUCCAAAAACAAAUAUAUAAAAACUUCAAUGUAAUAGACUCCAACUCAAAAAUACUGGUAUAAACUCGAAUAUAAACUCUGAAAUAAAAACUAAUUCUCUCAUGUCUUGAUGUCUUCUCGUCUUUUUUUUUUAUUCUGACACCACAGUUUUUUCAUUCGCAUUUUUAUAUCAGAUGUUUCUUUUCCCCGAAUGUUUUUUUCGUUUUCCUUAACGGACUAUUGUGUACCUUCUCAGUGACAGGGUUUAUUAUUUUUUAUCAGUUUAUCAUGUAAAUGUUUAUUCUUAUAUUGCACCCGGACUAGAGAUAAAGAUAGAAUUUCAGAUCUUUUAUAUAUAUUAACUAAACAUAAUUGAUAUGUUAUAGCGUGUUUUUAAAUUUGCUUAAUUAAAGAUUUUAAUAUUUAUAUUGUAAAGGAAUUUUUUAUUAUUAUUAUGAUUUUUUUACGUAUUGUUUUCACAAAAUAAGUUUCAUUUUAAGCUUGUUCAGCUAUGUGCGCUUAAACGUCGCACAGUAGGGUCACAGUAGGGUCACAGUAGGUCACAGUAGGGUAGAAAUGCUUUAAAUGGACACUUGACGCAAAUGAAAAAUGGCGUUAUGAAACAAUUUUUGGUGGUAAUGUAUAAAAGAGUCUAUAGUCUACCUUAUACACCUGUUUUUUUUAGGGUAGGGCUGACUUUUAACCUUGUAGAACAUAUAAUCUUGCUCAAUUCUUUUGUUUAAAAGUUAUUAGUAAU